This 434-nucleotide ribosomal RNA is filed under the name uncultured Clostridium sp. RNAcentral describes it as "partial 16S ribosomal RNA". It matches the Rfam family "Bacterial small subunit ribosomal RNA", at positions 341 to 792 of the family's 1533-position model. The record is from RNAcentral. Lineage: Bacteria; Bacillati; Bacillota; Clostridia; Eubacteriales; Clostridiaceae.
ACGGGAGGCAGCAGUGGGGAAUAUUGCACAAUGGGGGAAACCCUGAUGCAGCGACGCCGCGUGAGUGAAGAAGUUAUUCGUAAUGUAAAGCUCUAUCAGCAGGGAAGAAAAUGACGGUACCUGACUAAGAAGCCCCGGCUAACUACGUGCCAGCAGCCGCGGUAAUACGUAGGUGGCGAGCGUUGUCCGGAUUUACUGGGUGUAAAGGGAGCGCAGGCGGGACAGCAAGUUGGAUGUGAAAUACCGAGGCUUAACCUCGGAGCUGCAUCCAAAACUGCCGUUCUUGAGUGAAGUAGAGGUAGGCGGAAUUCCGAGUGUAGCGGUGAAAUGCGUAGAUAUUCGGAGGAACACCGGUGGCGAAGGCGGCCUACUGGGCUUUAACUGACGCUGAGGCUCGAAAGUGUGGGGAGCAAACAGGAUUAGAUACCCUGGUA